GUGCUCGAUUCGGCAGCACAUAUACUAAAACUGGACCGAUACAGAGAAGAUUAGCAUGGCCCCUGAGCAGGGAUGACAGGCACAUUCGUGAAGCGUUCCGUAUUUUU
Molecule: small nuclear RNA, 107 nt
Organism: Apodemus sylvaticus (European woodmouse)
Lineage: Eukaryota; Metazoa; Chordata; Mammalia; Rodentia; Muridae
Source: RefSeq, a predicted model, not a curated record